AACGUAGGUGGCAAGCGUUAUCCGGAAUUACUGGGCGUAAAGGGUGUGCAGGCGGGAGUGCAAGUGGUGUAUGAAAACGUCCGGCUCAACCGGGCGCUGGUAUGCCAGACUGCAGUUCUAGAGGACGAGAGAGGGGGGUGGAAUUCCGGGUGUAGUGGUGAAAUGCGUAGAGAUCCGGAGGAACCCCAGAGGCGAAGGCGGCCCCCUGGCUCGUACCUGACGCUCAGCCACGAAAGCAUGGGGAGCGAACGGG
RNAcentral lists this ribosomal RNA (253 nucleotides) under uncultured bacterium. RNAcentral describes it as "partial 16S ribosomal RNA". It matches the Rfam family "Bacterial small subunit ribosomal RNA", at positions 524 to 776 of the family's 1533-position model. The record is from RNAcentral.